CUUCACCCAGUCAUCUCAGAGACAAAGGGAAAACAAAAUCUAGAGAGAGAGAGUGAGCAUGAACAGAAAGAAGCUCAAGAUCCUGCUCUCUCUCUUCGCUUUCAACUCCAUCUAUCUCUACUUCUUCUCCUCCGACCACCACCUCCUCUUCAUCCACCAUAAACUCCUCCCGGGAAACCACAAGGCCUCCCCGGAGAACCCCAAAACUCCGCCGGGAAAACACCCUCAUUUCCCUGUCACCCCCCGCGCCAAGCCAUGGCCAAUUCUCCCGUCUUACCUUCCGUGGUCUCUGAACCCCACCGUGGCUCUUCGUUCCUGCGAGGGCUACUUCGGGAACGGCUUCACGCGCCGAAUCGACCUUCGACGUUCUUCGGUGGAAAGGGAAUCGGGGAUCUCCGGCGGGGGCGGGUGGUUCAGGUGCUGGCACAGCGGGACGUUGCAGAGUUCGGUGUGUGAGGGAGGGAGGGUGAGGAUGACGCCGGAGAGGAUUCAGAUGUCGAUCGGAGGGGAGAGGUUGGAGAAUGUGAUUGGGAGGAAGGAGGAGGAGGAGUUGCCGGAGUUUGAGGCCGGAGCCUUUGAGGUUGAUGCUGGGGAACGGUUUGGUCAGAGGAAGCUUGUGGAUGAAGAGUUUCUGAAUCGAUUUGUGCCGCAGGGUGCGAUUUCACGGCAUACUAUGCGUGGCUUGCUUGAUUCGAUUCGAUUGGUUGGAUCCAGUGAGUUCAAGUGCGAUCAGUGGAUCGAGGAACCAACACUUCUAGUCACACGCUUUGAGUAUGCAAACCUUUUUCACACAUUUACAGAUUGGUACAGUGCAUAUGUUGCUUCUAGAGUGACAGGCUUACCCAAUCGACCUCAUUUGGUUUUUAUAGAUGGCCACUGUAGGGCACCUUUAGAAGAAACAUGGAAAGCGCUGUUUUCAAGUCUUAAAUACGCUAAAAACUUUAGUGGUUCAGUUUGUUUUCGUCAUGCAGUUCUCGUGCCUUUGGGAUAUGAGACUGCUUUAUUUAAGGGGCUGUCUGAAAACAUAAAUUGUCAUGGAGCAUUUGCACAUGAUCUGUGGCAAAACCCUGAUGACUUGAAAACUGCACGAUUAUCUGAGUUUGGAGAAAUGAUAAGAGCAGCUUUUGGGUUUCCAGUUGGAAGACACCGUGUUCUGAAGCCUGCCUCUGGUCACAAUAUCCUCUUUGUUAGGCGAGAAGAUUAUGUAGCUCACCCACGUCAUGGUGGUAAGGUUGAAUCAAGACUUAGCAAUGAACAGGAGGUGUUUGAUUCUCUAAAGAACUGGACAUCUAAUUAUUUGGAAUGCAAAAUAAACCUUGUCAAUGGAUUAUUUGCUCACAUGUCAAUGAAAGAGCAAGUUCGAGCCAUCCAAGAUGCUUCAGUCAUCAUUGGAGCUCAUGGGGCAGGUCUAACUCACAUAAUAUCUGCAAGACCAAAAACGGUGAUCCUUGAAAUUAUUAGCAGCCAAUACAGGCGCCCGCAUUUUGCAUUGAUUUCCCAGUGGAAAGGCUUGGAGUAUCAUGCCAUUAAUCUUGAUGGAUCAUAUGCUGAUCCUAGAGUGGUUAUUGAUCAGCUUAACAGCAUAGUGAAAAGCCUUGGAUGCUGAAAAUUUUAUGGUUUCUUCGGGAAAUAGAUUCAUCCCUCUUUGCUGGGAAGUACAAGGACAAAGAGAAGUCCACCCCAUGUUUUGUAUCUCAGUUUUUGAAGUCUAUUGUUUGGCGUGCCAUAUUCUCUUUUUGUACAGUUUUGGCUUUUCCCACUGCUGCCAUUCUGCAUUGUUCAAAUGGAUAUUUCAUUGAAGAAAAGAAACUAUAGUUUCUUUAAUGGGGAUUUUUAUCAUUCCAAGGGUUUGCUCCAAUUGAUGAUCCAUUGAAGACGGGUUGCCAAAACAUAGGGGCCUUGACUGCUCUUUUUGCAGCACAUAUCUAGCAAUUCAGUGGAAGAUUUUCAGGGAAAGGUGGAUAGAAUAAUUACUUCGGGUGUGAAGACUGCUGGGAGCAAGCCCAAAUUCUGGCACUGAAGCUGUGAGACGUGGCACUUCCUUAGAGACCAUACAUGGGCAUUGCUAAUGUUGAUCUCUAAAUGUGAUCAGAUCACGAGUCAACACCCAUUUACCCUGAAGAUUCCUCUCAUUCUUUCCCAGUCUCUAUAACUUGAAUAAGUAACUGCUUCCAUCCACCCUCCACACCUCAUCCAGGUUAUCAACAUGGGAUUUAUGGGGCUAUCCACACCACUGCAGUGCAGUCCUCCCAUCAUCCUCCAUUUUUGCCUCUUCUCUCAUCUCAUGCCAAAUCCCUGACACCAUUUGAAAGUGAAUUGCAGGCUUGAGUAAAACUGAGGACUUCCUCGAUUUUGAAACAUCUGAGCUUCUGGAAUGCUGGGAAGAAGCUCCAUUGGGUUCCAAGCUCUGACAAACAGAUGAAGGGGUUGGUUACAAGGGCAGAGGAUAACAAAAAUGGGGGUGGAAACUGGAAAUGGCAUGUUAUUUUAAAAUCUGGACGGGUAGUUUUUUACACAGCACCAUUGAAAGUUGGCACCAAGGAAAAAAGGAUUCAUAAGGUGACAUAAAGAAGGCAGCUGGCAAUGAUUGUUUUAUUUCUCAACUGUCUUUUUGUUAUAUUUUUAAUAUUUGUUUUAAAUUUUUCCAAAUGGUCAGUAGCUGAACUGGAAUCAUAAUCAUAAUAUUUUAUGGAAAGGAUAUUUAUAGAGAUGGGCAAAGAUAAAGUUUA
Molecule: RNA transcript, 2729 nt
Organism: Vitis riparia (riverbank grape)
Lineage: Eukaryota; Viridiplantae; Streptophyta; Magnoliopsida; Vitales; Vitaceae
Gene name: beta-1,2-xylosyltransferase
Exons: 4
Source: RefSeq, a predicted model, not a curated record